GAUGCAGUGGCAGGGCUAUGCCCUGGGCUGGCUGACAUCCCACCUGGGCUGGGGAUCCUCUGAGGCAAAGCUCUGCACUGACGCCUUAAAUAACGGCUGAUUACUCUUCCUUCUGACUCCGUGACCUGAGAUUACCUCGGAGAUGAUGGCUGGCUGUGUCUGAAAGAUGUAGAUUGUCCUUAAGCUAAAUAAUUACGGACACUUGGUGGUGCGGACUGUGGGCCGUGGGAGCCCAGGAUGGGUGUUCCCGGUGCUCCCUGAGGGAGGUUGUGGAUCCUCGGCACUUUUCGGAUCGCGGCCGCCGCUCUCUCCCCCGUGGCUGCUGAUGCUGUGAGCAGGCGUGGACCGAUCCCGAGCGGGCCCUGGGGAACGAGGCGCCCGGCCCCUUCCUGGCCGCUGCUCCGAUCAGGAAGGGCAGGGCUGAUUCUCUCACUAUUUACAGCGUACUUGACAAGUGCAAGUAAAUGUGCUGUCAACAAAAGCAAACUGCGUGUAAUCGAGAGAUGAUUGAAACCAGGGCUGGAGUGGCGGGGGAGGGUUCUGCACCAGGACUGCCCCAGAGGAUGCGCAGGCGGGGGGCAGGGAGCGGCCCCGUGCUUCCUCUCUGUCUUCCUCACCCGUG
Molecule: long non-coding RNA, 622 nt
Filed under: Gallus gallus (chicken)
Lineage: Eukaryota; Metazoa; Chordata; Aves; Galliformes; Phasianidae
Description: long non-coding RNA NONGGAT003039
Source: RNAcentral